This 401-nucleotide ribosomal RNA is filed under the name uncultured bacterium. Its description in RNAcentral is "bacterial SSU rRNA". It matches the Rfam family "Bacterial small subunit ribosomal RNA", at positions 355 to 774 of the family's 1533-position model. The record is from RNAcentral.
UGGGGAAUAUUGCACAAUGGGCGAAAGCCUGAUGCAGCAACGCCGCGUGAGCGAUGAAGGCCUUCGGGUCGUAAAGCUCUGUCCUCAAGGAAGAUAAUGACGGUACUUGAGGAGGAAGCCCCGGCUAACUACGUGCCAGCAGCCGCGGUAAUACGUAGGGGGCUAGCGUUAUCCGGAAUUACUGGGCGUAAAGGGUGCGUAGGUGGUUUCUUAAGUCAGAAGUGAAAGGCUACGGCUCAACCGUAGUAAGCUUUUGAAACUGAGAAACUUGAGUGCAGGAGAGGAGAGUAGAAUUCCUAGUGUAGCGGUGAAAUGCGUAGAUAUUAGGAGGAAUACCAGUAGCGAAGGCGGCUCUCUGGACUGUAACUGACACUGAGGCACGAAAGCGUGGGGAGCAAACA